This 73-nucleotide transfer RNA is filed under the name Trichonephila inaurata madagascariensis. It matches the Rfam family "tRNA". From Rfam's summary of the family: Transfer RNA (tRNA) molecules are approximately 80 nucleotides in length. Their secondary structure includes four short double-helical elements and three loops (D, anti-codon, and T loops). The record is from Rfam by way of RNAcentral. Lineage: Eukaryota; Metazoa; Arthropoda; Arachnida; Araneae; Nephilidae.
GCCCCUGUAUCGCAAUGGAUAGCGCGUUGGACUCCUAAUCCAAAGGUUGUGGAUUCGAAACCCACCUGAGAUG